UACGGGGGGGGCAAGCGUUGUUCGGAAUUACUGGGCGUAAAGGGCUCGUAGGCGGCCAACUAAGUCAGACGUGAAAUCCCUCGGCUUAACCGGGGAACUGCGUCUGAUACUGGAUGGCUUGAGUUUGGGAGAGGGAUGCGGAAUUCCAGGUGUAGCGGUGAAAUGCGUAGAUAUCUGGAGGAACACCGGUGGCGAAGGCGGGCUACUGGGCCGAUACUGACGCUGAUGCGCGAAAGCCAGGGGAGCGAACGGG
Molecule: ribosomal RNA, 253 nt
Filed under: uncultured bacterium
Lineage: Bacteria
Description: partial 16S ribosomal RNA
Rfam family: Bacterial small subunit ribosomal RNA
Source: RNAcentral